Molecule: transfer RNA, 73 nt
Filed under: Nostocoides jenkinsii Ben 74
Lineage: Bacteria; Bacillati; Actinomycetota; Actinomycetes; Micrococcales; Intrasporangiaceae
Description: Tetrasphaera jenkinsii Ben 74 tRNA
Rfam family: tRNA
About the family: Transfer RNA (tRNA) molecules are approximately 80 nucleotides in length. Their secondary structure includes four short double-helical elements and three loops (D, anti-codon, and T loops). Further hydrogen bonds mediate the characteristic L-shaped molecular structure. tRNAs have two regions of fundamental functional importance: the anti-codon, which is responsible for specific mRNA codon recognition, and the 3' end, to which the tRNAs corresponding amino acid is attached (by aminoacyl-tRNA synthetases). tRNAs cope with the degeneracy of the genetic code in two manners: having more than one tRNA (with a specific anti-codon) for a particular amino acid; and 'wobble' base-pairing, i.e. permitting non-standard base-pairing at the 3rd anti-codon position.
Source: Rfam by way of RNAcentral
GCCCCAAUGUCUUAGAUGGCUAGAGAGACCGCCUUCCAAGCGGUAUGCGCCGGUUCGAGCCCGGCUUGGGGCU